UACGGAGGGUGCAAGCGUUAUCCGGAUUCACUGGGUUUAAAGGGUGCGUAGGUGGGCAGGUAAGUCAGUGGUGAAAUCUCCGGGCUUAACCUGGGAACUGCGCUUCUAACUGGCAGGCUUGAGUGUGGCAGAGGGGGGUGGAAUUCCACGUGUAGCAGUGAAAUGCGUAGAGAUGUGGAGGAACACCGAUGGCGAAGGCAGCCCCCUGGGCUAACACUGACGCUCAUGCACGAAAGCGUGGGGAGCAAACAGG
This 253-nucleotide ribosomal RNA is filed under the name uncultured bacterium. Its description in RNAcentral is "partial 16S ribosomal RNA". It matches the Rfam family "Bacterial small subunit ribosomal RNA", at positions 524 to 776 of the family's 1533-position model. The record is from RNAcentral.